This 497-nucleotide ribosomal RNA is filed under the name uncultured bacterium. RNAcentral describes it as "partial 16S ribosomal RNA". It matches the Rfam family "Bacterial small subunit ribosomal RNA", at positions 28 to 507 of the family's 1533-position model. The record is from RNAcentral.
GAUGAACGCUGGCGGCGUGCCUAAUACAUGCAAGUCGAGCGAACAGAUAAGGAGCUUGCUCCUUUGACGUUAGCGGCGGACGGGUGAGGAACACGUGGGUAACCUACCUAUAAGACUGGGAUAACUUCGGGAAACCGGAGCUAAUACCGGAUAACAUUUGGAACCGCAUGGUUCUAAAGUGAAAGAUGGUUUUGCUAUCACUUAUAGAUGGACCCGCGCCGUAUUAGCUAGUUGGUAAGGUAACGGCUUACCAAGGCGACGAUACGUAGCCGACCUGAGAGGGUGAUCGGCCACACUGGAACUGAGACACGGUCCAGACUCCUACGGGAGGCAGCAGUAGGGAAUCUUCCGCAAUGGGCGAAAGCCUGACGGAGCAACGCCGCGUGAGUGAUGAAGGGUUUCGGCUCGUAAAACUCUGUUAUUAGGGAAGAACAAAUGUGUAAGUAACUGUGCACGUCUUGACGGUACCUAAUCAGAAAGCCACGGCUAACUACGUG